GACCCCGUGAACCUUUACUAUAGCUUGACACUGAACAUUGAGCCUUGAUGUGUAGGAUAGGUGGGAGGCUUUGAAGCGUGGACGCCAGUCUGCGUGGAGCCAACCUUGAAAUACCACCCUUUAAUGUUUGAUGUUCUAACGUUGGCCCCUGACCGGGGUUGCGGACAGUGUCUGGUGGGUAGUUUGACUGGGGCGGUCUCCUCCCAAAGCGUAACGGAGGAGCACGAAGGUUAGCUAAUCCUGGUCGGACAUCAGGAGGUUAGUGCAAUGGCAUAAGCUAGCUUGACUGCGAGCGUGACGG
RNAcentral lists this ribosomal RNA (301 nucleotides) under Klebsiella pneumoniae. RNAcentral describes it as "bacterial LSU rRNA". It matches the Rfam family "Bacterial large subunit ribosomal RNA", at positions 2087 to 2387 of the family's 2925-position model. Lineage: Bacteria; Pseudomonadati; Pseudomonadota; Gammaproteobacteria; Enterobacterales; Enterobacteriaceae. The record is from RNAcentral.